AGACUCUGUGCGCGUGCAUAUCAAUAAGCGGAGGAAAAGAAACUAACUAGGAUUCCCUCAGUAACGGCGAGUGAAGCGGGAAGAGCUCAAAUUUGAAAUCUUCAAGGUUCUACCUUGACGAAUUGUAGUUUAAAGAAGUGUUUUCUGUUGGAGUUUUGGUAAAAGUUCUUUGGAAUAGGACAUCAUAGAGGGUGAGAAUCCCGUAUUUGACCAUUAUUUCCAACUUUGUGAUACACUUUCAAAGAGUCGGAUUGUUUGGGAAUGCAGUCCAAAAUGGGUGGUAAAUUUCAUCUAAAGCUAAAUACUGGCGAGAGACCGAUAGCGAACAAGUACCGUGAGGGAAAGAUGAAAAGAACUUUGAAAAGAGAGUUAAACAGUACGUGAAAUUGUCAAAAGGGAAGCGUUUGACACCAGUGUUGUUUUCUCGAAAAUCAAUUAAAAAUGGCGGGAUUUUGUGUUGUAUUGACUUUAUCAGCUUUCUGCACUUUUUUCCUAUCUUUUUUAAUGCACUUUUCGUUUAACAAGUCAACAUCAAUUUCUUUUGUUGUAAAAGGGUCAUUGGAAGGUGGCUUUCUUUUCGGAGAAAGUGUUUAUAGCCUUUGGCCUCUGCAAUCGGAGAGAUUGAGGUCUGCAGCGUAGAUCCUUCGGGGUUAGAUGCAUUUGUGCUAAGCUAUAGCCUUUCAUAGACAACUUGUUGACUAUGAUCAGUCAUGUAGCUUACUCGCAUGUGCUAUUUUACCUACGCUUAGGAUGUUGACGAUCAGCUGAGCGCG
This 773-nucleotide ribosomal RNA is filed under the name uncultured Neocallimastigales. RNAcentral's name for it is "partial large subunit ribosomal RNA". It matches the Rfam family "Eukaryotic large subunit ribosomal RNA", at positions 23 to 627 of the family's 3401-position model. The record is from RNAcentral. Lineage: Eukaryota; Fungi; Neocallimastigomycota; Neocallimastigomycetes; Neocallimastigales.